This 503-nucleotide ribosomal RNA is filed under the name uncultured bacterium. Its description in RNAcentral is "bacterial SSU rRNA". It matches the Rfam family "Bacterial small subunit ribosomal RNA", at positions 28 to 524 of the family's 1533-position model. The record is from RNAcentral.
GAUGAACGCUAGCGGCAGGCUUAAUACAUGCAAGUCGAGGGGCAGCACGGGUAGCAAUACCUGGUGGCGACCGGCAAACGGGUGCGGAACACGUACGCAACCUUCCCAUAACUGGUGAAUAGCCUUCCGAAAGGGAGAUUAAUACACCGUAACAUAACGAGUAGGCAUCUACUUGUUAUUAUAGGCUUCGGCCGGUUUUUGGAUGGGCGUGCGCCUGAUUAGGUAGUUGGCGGGGUAACGGCCCACCAAGCCUGCGAUCAGUAACUGGUGUGAGAGCACGACCAGUCACACGGGCACUGAGACACGGGCCCGACUCCUACGGGAGGCAGCAGUAAGGAAUACUGGUCAAUGGACGCAAGUCUGAACCAGCCAUGCCGCGUGAAGGAUGAAGGUCCUCUGGAUUGUAAACUUCUUUUAUCUGGGACGAAAAAAGGGAUUCUUUCUCACUUGACGGUACCAGAGGAAUAAGCACCGGCUAACUCCGUGCCAGCAGCCGCGGUAAU